RNAcentral lists this ribosomal RNA (231 nucleotides) under uncultured bacterium. RNAcentral describes it as "partial 16S ribosomal RNA". It matches the Rfam family "Bacterial small subunit ribosomal RNA", at positions 104 to 334 of the family's 1533-position model. The record is from RNAcentral.
CGGGGUGAGUAACGCGUGGAUAACCUGCCUCACACUGGGGGAUAACAGUUAGAAAUGACUGCUAAUACCGCAUAAGCGCACAGUACCGCAUGGUACGGUGUGAAAAACUCCGGUGGUGUGAGAUGGAUCCGCGUCUGAUUAGCCAGUUGGCGGGGUAACGGCCCACCAAAGCACGAUCAGUAGCCGACCUGAGAGGGUGACCGGCCACAUUGGGACUGAGACACGGCCCAA